AGAUGCUUACUUAUGUUCUGAAAACUGUGGCUUUUCAAAAGCUAAGUGAUACCUGUGGUUGCCAGGAAAAUGAGAUGGCCUGUUCACCAGACUGGAAUUAAGUUUUGAAUAGUCUUUUCAGCUGUAGAGUGACCGUCCCAUAAAUCCUCAUGAUACAGCUGGGGACACAAGUUCCCAACCUGACAGGCGUGGGAUGGUUGCUUCUAAAUGCAGUAUUUUUUUAGAGGAGGAGGUAGGGAUGUCCUUGCCAACUUAAAAGGAAGGAUGGUUUCCUGACUUCAGUGUUAUUCUGUAUCACCAAAGCUAAUACUGAUGGUGUGGGUAAGUUCAGACGACUCUUGAUAGCAGUAAAUACUAAGAUACUACUGAUUAUAAGGUAGAUCAUUAAUUUACUAAUAUUUGUUUUCCAGGAAAAAAGAAAUCAUCACAUUCAAUGCUCACAUUGAUAAUAAUAUAUAUCUUGAUUUCAGGAAUACUAAAUGUGGAAUAAAAUACAUAUCAGAAUCAAGGAAAUGCAAUGUGUCUCUCACUGACAGACUGCAAAUUUUGGGGAUGAGCUAAUUUCUGGAAAGUAAGAUGGACCCAUCUAGAGGAGCGCUCUGGCCUUAGAAGUUGUUUAACAUAAAAUACAAUUGCAGGAAGAAGGGCUAGGCGCUUUUAUGGAUGAGAAAGGACAGAGGAGCACUGACUCCGGUGCAUGAGUGCCACCUCACAGGAGCCUGCUCGUCGGCAGCAGGUCACACACAGACAUUCACAGGGGUUGAUGUUGGAAUGCUUUUCUCAGGACUGGCUUCCUGCCAUCUUCCUCCACUUCAAUCUCACAGAUAGCCUCCACGAGGAGACUGCCAAGCUUAGAAGAAAGAACAGUGAGCGGGAAGUUAGAACAGCAAGUUCCCUGCCCAGACGCUGUGCUGGAUGGCCUUAGGCUCAGCCUUAACUCUUACAGUGCUAUCUAUCGAUCUUGGCUAUAUUAAUAGUAUUUAGCCCCUCUCUAUGUCCCAGAUACUGAGGACAAAGAGAUCAUAUCUGGGUGAGCAAUUACCUAAAGACAAAGUCGAUUCUUCUCUUUCUGUGCCACGGGAGAUGAUAAGGUAGGUCUAGAGAAACCACCACGCUACUAUGACAUGAGAAAUUUCAAUAAUGGGUAGUUGGCCACCAAUGCAAACCAUCACUGCCAAAAUCAAGGGUCUAAAACACGUUGUAGCCAUUCUAUGCCAAAAACAAGACAAAGAAAUGGCAUCAGGAGCAGUGGACUUGGCAUCCUGAGUGCUCACGUGGUUCUGGUUCGGUCUUUAAUGAGUCAGGUUACCUUGGACAAGUCUCCUGGCCUCUCUAGGUCUUGAAGGGUGGUUUUAAAUGCUCUCUGGGGCCCCUUUCUGUUCCUGUAACCUGACUUACUCUACUCCUGCAGGCCAGCAGGUGGCAGUGACUACUAGACUAGGAAGCUGGCCUGUCCCUGGUUUCCUGUCAUAGCACUAACAAACCUCAAAAAGUAAACACAAUCAUGACGUGACACUGUAAGACAAUUCACAAAGCGAGCGGCAGCAUUCCAAACAAACAUGGUGGCAUAUUUAACAAAGACUAAAAGCUAAGGUUGAAGACAUUACUUCUGGUAAGUCUCAACAUCCAAGUCUCCCACCAGCUUCAGAUUCUUUCAAAAACGAAACAUCAGGCACUUGCUCAGAAAUCCUGUUGAGGGACCACCCCAAACAUUAAUGGGCAAGUUGUUUUCCACAGGAAGGACCUAAUGACCCUUUGACAGCUGGGUCUUAAUAAAAGAGAAGGGCCUCUGUUGACUCAGAGUCUAUAUUGCUUGUUACAUUUAACUAGCGGGUUGAUCUGAAGCUUUGUUUUAGGACUAAUAAAAGAAUGUCUUUCAAGUCAACUGCUGCAACUCACACAUCAGUUCCACUAGCGUUAUUUUCACCUCUUUCAUGGAAAUUAAUUUAUAAUCCAACCCCACAAUGUUGCUCCUACAAAUUAAAACAAAACAAAACAAAACAAAAACUCCUUAGAACAACCUAUGUCAUGUAUGCUCAGAAAAGUCCUCAAGCAUGUUAAGCUUUGAACGCAUUCUACAGCAUUACUGUGAAGGUUCCUUGGCAAAGGAACUUUAAAAUGGAAAAAAAAAAAACCACCUUUAAAUCCACUUGAAGGUAAUGAAUGAAAGCUGGCGGCUGUCUCGGUAAUUAAGAGCCACUUAUGGGGUAGAGAAGAAAUGCUAUAAACUAAUGAUGUCUACCUUGCUCUAAUUAUCUAUUUCAACAGCCUCACCUUCACGAACUUCCUAAAUUUAAACAAACAUCAACCACA
Molecule: non-coding RNA, 2313 nt
Organism: Microcebus murinus (gray mouse lemur)
Lineage: Eukaryota; Metazoa; Chordata; Mammalia; Primates; Cheirogaleidae
Source: RefSeq, a predicted model, not a curated record